GAUGAACGCUGGCGGCGUGCCUAAUACAUGCAAGUCGAGCGAACGGACGAGAAGCUUGCUUCUCUGCUGUUAGCGGCGGACGGGUGAGUAACACGUGGAUAACCUACCUAUAAGACUGGGAUAACUUCGGGAAACCGGAGCUACUACCGGAUCAUAUUUUGAACCGCAUGGAUCAAAAGUGAAAGACGGUCUUGCUGUCACUUAUAGAUGGAUCCGCGCUGCAUUAGCUAGUUGGUAAGGUAACGGCUUACCAAGGCAACGAUGCAUAGCCGACCUGAGAGGGUGAUCAGCCACACUGGAACUGAGACACGGUCCAGACUCCUACGGGAGGCAGCAGUGGGGAAUCUUCCGCAAUGGGCGAAAGCCUGACGGAGCAACGCCGCGUGAGUGAUGAAGGUCUUCGGAUCGUAAAACUCUGUUAUUAGGGAAGAACAUAUGUGUAAGUAACUGUGCACAUCUUGACGGUACCUAAACAGAAAGCCACGGCUAACUACGUG
This 497-nucleotide ribosomal RNA is filed under the name uncultured bacterium. RNAcentral describes it as "partial 16S ribosomal RNA". It matches the Rfam family "Bacterial small subunit ribosomal RNA", at positions 28 to 507 of the family's 1533-position model. The record is from RNAcentral.